This 381-nucleotide ribosomal RNA is filed under the name uncultured bacterium. RNAcentral's name for it is "bacterial SSU rRNA". It matches the Rfam family "Bacterial small subunit ribosomal RNA", at positions 30 to 396 of the family's 1533-position model. The record is from RNAcentral.
AGUGAACGCUGGCGGCAGGCCUAACACAUGCAAGUCGAGCGGCAGCGGGUUCCCGCGAGGGGAUGCCGGCGAGCGGCGGACGGGUGAGGAACACAUCGGAAUCUGCCUGGUUGUGGGGGAUAACGUAGGGAACUUACGCUAAUACCGCAUGAGACCCUGAGUCGACGGACUGGGGGUGAAAGUGAGGGACCUUCGGGCCUCACGCGACCAGAUGAGCCGAUGUCGGAUUAGCUAGUUGGCGGGGUAACGGCCCGCCAAGGCGACGAUCCGUAGCUGGUCUGAGAGGAUGAUCAGCCACACUGGGACUGAGACACGGCCCAGACUCCUACGGGAGGCAGCAGUGGGAAUCUUGGACAAUGGCGCAAGCCUGAUCCAGCCAUG